This 325-nucleotide unclassified non-coding RNA is filed under the name Hevea brasiliensis (rubber tree). The record is from RNAcentral. Lineage: Eukaryota; Viridiplantae; Streptophyta; Magnoliopsida; Malpighiales; Euphorbiaceae.
AUAAUGCCCAAGCUACUCUCCUGAAAUAGACCACCAUUUCUCCCAGAACUUCUUUGGAUUUCACUUCUAUUUUGACCAUCACAAACAUGUUUAAUAGAAUUUUUAAAUCCUUCUUGCAACCUUUAUGACCAGAGCAUUACAUCAAUUGAAAUAGAGCCCUACUAUCCUCUUCAGGUAGUAGCCUUUUCACAUUGCAAUCGGAGCAUUUCAACACUUGCAGACCCAUUUCUUCAACGAACCAAAAGAAUCCGUCAACACCUUUCUCAUCCUAUAUAUAAUUUCACGCCAGAGUCUCUCCCCAGUUCGGAUCCGUCUUCAAGCGGUG